This 241-nucleotide ribosomal RNA is filed under the name Salmonella enterica. Its description in RNAcentral is "partial 23S ribosomal RNA". Lineage: Bacteria; Pseudomonadati; Pseudomonadota; Gammaproteobacteria; Enterobacterales; Enterobacteriaceae. The record is from RNAcentral.
GACCGGAGUGGACGCAUCACUGGUGUUCGGGUUGUCAUGCCAAUGGCACUGCCCGGUAGCUAAAUGCGGAAGAGAUAAGUGCUGAAAGCAUCUAAGCACGAAACUUGCCCCGAGAUGAGUUCUCCCUGAGACUUWRRGUCUCCUGAAGGAACGUUGAAGACGACGACGUUGAUAGGCCGGGUGUGUAAGCGCAGCGAUGCGUUGAGCUAACCGGUACUAAUGAACCGUGAGGCUUAACCUU